AAGGAAUAUUGGACAAUGGAGGCAACUCUGAUCCAGCCAUGCCGCGUGAAGGAAUAAGGCCCUAUGGGUUGUAAACUUCUUUUAGACGGGACAAAACCCCUUUACGUGUAAAGGGUUGAUGGUACUGUCAGAAUAAGCAUCGGCUAACUUCGUGCCAGCAGCCGCGGUAAUACGAAGGAUGCAAGCGUUAUCCGGAAUUAUUGGGUUUAAAGGGUGCGUAGGCGGACUAAUAAGUCAGUGGUGAAAGCCUGCAGCUUAACUGCAGAAUUGCCAUUGAUACUGUUAGUCUUGAGUACAGUUGAGGUAGGCGGAAUGUGUCAUGUAGCGGUUAAAUGCUUAGAUAUGACACAGAACACCGAUUGCGAAGGCAGCUUGCUAAGCUGUAACUGACGCUGAGGCACGAAAGCGUGGGGAGCAAACA
Molecule: ribosomal RNA, 421 nt
Filed under: uncultured bacterium
Lineage: Bacteria
Description: bacterial SSU rRNA
Rfam family: Bacterial small subunit ribosomal RNA
Source: RNAcentral